Long non-coding RNA from Helianthus annuus (common sunflower), 3112 nucleotides. RefSeq lists it as uncharacterized. The record is from RefSeq and is a predicted model, not a curated record. The transcript is spliced from 4 exons. Lineage: Eukaryota; Viridiplantae; Streptophyta; Magnoliopsida; Asterales; Asteraceae.
AAACACACACACAUCAGUGUGUGCGUGGGGAACGACCAGAGCAGGAAGAAAAAGGGUAAAACCCUAAACUCCACAAAAUCUUCUAAUUGAAGGUGCAAUUGAAGACCAAACUCGGAUUUGAAUACAUAUAAACGAUCACCGAGCUAAGGGGAUCGUAAGUUGACUCUAAACAAGCUAGGUGGGAGCUUGGAAAGGAACGGGUCAAACGGAUCAUGGAUGCGAAGAAUGUUUGCGCGAACGCGAGGUAAGUAAAGCUUACACCCAUUUGUAGUAAACGUAUGUAUUUUAUAGAUGAUAAAUGUGACAACCGAUUACAUUCGAAAUUGAAGUUCCGACACUAAGCAAUAUGAGUCGGAACGAAUAAAAAUGAUCAAAACCAUGGUUAAUGGUAAAAUGGACAAAAGGGUAAUUUAGUCGUGAAUCGACUAAGAAUUUAUAAGAUUUCUUUAAGGUUACCUUAUAGCGAAACUAGUAAUGGGAAAAAGGGUAAAUUAGUCACAUGUUGACUAUAUGUAAGUUGGGAUUAAAAAGGAUACCCAUGGUGUAAGCCAUAACGAGUUAGAUACGUAAGAAGAAUGAUCUUGUAGUUAAAACUUGAAAUGGGUCGGAUGUGUGAAUGGGAUAUUAAAAGCCAUGAUUUGACAUAAGUAUAAAUGUUUGGUCAUAAAUACCAAAUGGGUCAAAUGGUGGUGAUGACACUAUUUGACAAUAUCGACUAAUGUUUGGUUGUUAAGUUAAAUGUUCGCAGGAGUGAACGGGAAGUGGAUUAUUGCGUUGCUAUAAAGUAGCGGCUAAUAAAAGAAAGGUACAAAACGGGUCUAUAUGUUGACUCGAGCCAGGUACGCAUUAAUUAGAUCAUGGCGAUAUGCGUAGUUGAAUUUUAGAAUAUAAGUUACUAUGAAAUAUAGCGAUGAUAUCGCUACAUUGAAUAUUUGGUCAAAAGAUGGUUAGAACUCGUUGGUAGUCGUCAAAAAGGAAGGAAUUCCGUAGACGAGCCAAACGGGUCGAAUAAUCAGGUAAGGCAUGGUUAUUGUUUCGGAUAUUUUGAAUAUUUUAUAACAUAUUAGAAAUAUGAGGUUUUAACGAAUUAGUAUCAUAAAAAAACUGAAAACCGAGAGUUGGGUCUUGGAGUAAUGAUCAAACAAAACAAAACCUGGCAUUCCAGGUACUACCGUAAAUUACGGUAGAACCGUAAAUUACGGUGGUUGUGAUAUGGUUUACGGAGCAGAUCUCCUGGUUUACGGUGACCAGACACUUCCAGGUCUCACCGUAAAUUACGGUGAUACCGUAAUUUACGGUGGAUUCAGAAUCACUUUUUAUAUUUUUGUUAUUUCUAAUGUGGCAUUAAGCCUUGGGAUUAUAUUAUUAUAUAACAACGUCAAAACUAAUGAUUUUAACGGUUUUGAUCAUAGGUGAAUGCCAAGAGUGCCCGGAUGAAGAUCAAGCUCGAUGAGGAACCGAACACAAUAAAAUCUAACACUCGGGAUUAAAGCUUCCGCACGGCGUUACGCCAUAUCUUUUAAACAACGAACUUAUCUAUAUUAUGUUGAAAACUUUUAAGUUGUAAAAGUUUUAGAUUACUUGUAUUUUCUAAGAAUACUUAAUCGAAAUUUCAUGUUUAUUUUCGUUAUUUAUACGAAAACUUUAAAAAUUAUAACAUGGGUGUUACAAGUUGGUAAUCAGAGCUCAUGGUUAAAGAGUGAGGUGUGUUCGGUUCGAGGCUUGAUCGUAAAUCCGGUAAGUACAUGUAUGUUAAUGGUUUAGUGUGCUAAAGUGUUGUAAACAACACAUAGGGUUAUCGUGUGAUACACGUUACCCUAAUUAAAAUGAUUGAUAUAGUUAAUGAAAAUACGCGCGUUGGCGCGUAUAGAAAAAGCCUUGUAUUAUAAUACGGGUGAUUAUUAAAGUUGAUAUAAUUAACUCUUGUAAAUGUUUCAGUUGAAGGACACUCGCAUCUAAAGAUAGCGGAAGUCUAACAAAUUGUUGACUUGACGAAGGGACGGUCCAAAGUACGACAAGUAGAACAUGCUCACCAAGGACCUAAAUCGCGUAACGAUCGCGAACAAGGCUAACGGCAAGAGAAGCCUGACAGGGCAAGCAUUACCAGUUGACUCUAAACAAGCUAGGUGGGAGCUUGGAAAGGAACGGGUCAAACGGAUCAUGGAUGCGAAGAAUGUUUGCGCGAACGCGAGUUAAAUGUUCGCAGGAGUGAACGGGAAGUGGAUUAUUGCGUUGCUAUAAAGUAGCGGCUAAUAAAAGAAAGGUACAAAACGGGUCUAUAUGUUGACUCGAGCCAGGUACGCAUUAAUUAGAUCAUGGCGAUAUGCGUAGUUGAAUUUUAGAAUAUAAGUUACUAUGAAAUAUAGCGAUGAUAUCGCUACAUUGAAUAUUUGGUCAAAAGAUGGUUAGAACUCGUUGGUAGUCGUCAAAAAGGAAGGAAUUCCGUAGACGAGCCAAACGGGUCGAAUAAUCAGGUAAGGCAUGGUUAUUGUUUCGGAUAUUUUGAAUAUUUUAUAACAUAUUAGAAAUAUGAGGUUUUAACGAAUUAGUAUCAUAAAAAAACUGAAAACCGAGAGUUGGGUCUUGGAGUAAUGAUCAAACAAAACAAAACCUGGCAUUCCAGGUACUACCGUAAAUUACGGUAGAACCGUAAAUUACGGUGGUUGUGAUAUGGUUUACGGAGCAGAUCUCCUGGUUUACGGUGACCAGACACUUCCAGGUCUCACCGUAAAUUACGGUGAUACCGUAAUUUACGGUGGAUUCAGAAUCACUUUUUAUAUUUUUGUUAUUUCUAAUGUGGCAUUAAGCCUUGGGAUUAUAUUAUUAUAUAACAACGUCAAAACUAAUGAUUUUAACGGUUUUGAUCAUAGGUGAAUGCCAAGAGUGCCCGGAUGAAGAUCAAGCUCGAUGAGGAACCGAACACAAUAAAAUCUAACACUCGGGAUUAAAGCUUCCGCACGGCGUUACGCCAUAUCUUUUAAACAACGAACUUAUCUAUAUUAUGUUGAAAACUUUUAAGUUGUAAAAGUUUUAGAUUACUUGUAUUUUCUAAGAAUACUUAAUCGAAAUUUCAUGUUUAUUUUCGUUAUUUAUACGAAAACUUUAAAAAUUA